GAGAGCAUACAUAAGGUGCUCUAUAAAUGCUAGCUCUUGGUAUAUCAUGGGCACACAGGAACAGGACCUGAUUCUCUGUCCUCCUGACUACUUGGCAUUUCUGUUCUAAGAGGAUCACCCAAAGAAGUUGACAGACGAGCUGAGACUUGAUAACCCGUAGGGGACUUCAGGAGCAGAGGUGAGGUAGAAGCAUCUCUGGUAUGAGGGAGCAUCAGGGCAGAGACAAGAGACUCAGCUGAAGCACCACCUUCUUCAUGAAGCCUUUCAAGAUGCCCUCCAGCUACUGGUAGUCUCUUCAAAAAAAAUUACCAGGUAUUUAAUUUAUAGAUAUUCUGCAUGUAAACAAUGAACAUUGUGG
RNAcentral lists this long non-coding RNA (358 nucleotides) under Monodelphis domestica (gray short-tailed opossum). RNAcentral's name for it is "lncRNA (ENSMODG00000044595.1)". The record is from RNAcentral. Lineage: Eukaryota; Metazoa; Chordata; Mammalia; Didelphimorphia; Didelphidae.